This 132-nucleotide small nucleolar RNA is filed under the name Callorhinchus milii (elephant shark). RNAcentral describes it as "Small nucleolar RNA SNORA29 (ENSCMIG00000001700.1)". Lineage: Eukaryota; Metazoa; Chordata; Chondrichthyes; Chimaeriformes; Callorhinchidae. The record is from RNAcentral.
GAUCCCAUUUUAGUACCGCUCAUUUGAAACCACAGAAUGGGUGGCUAUGCUAAUGGGAAAGAGAGUCUUUGCUGUGUGUCUUGAGAAAGAAGGCGACUGUCUUUCCAGGAUGACAUGGCAGAACAUUUCUUU